RNAcentral lists this unclassified non-coding RNA (344 nucleotides) under Dothideomycetes sp. RNAcentral describes it as "partial contains 5.8S ribosomal RNA, internal transcribed spacer 2, and large subunit ribosomal RNA". The stretch from base 1 to 52 matches the Rfam family "5.8S ribosomal RNA", at positions 103 to 154 of the family's 154-position model. RNAcentral also lists the same sequence under 3 other names. The record is from RNAcentral. Lineage: Eukaryota; Fungi; Ascomycota; Dothideomycetes.
AACGCACCUUGCGCUCCUCGGUGUUCCGAGGAGCAUGCCUGUUUGAGUGUCAGUAAAUUCUCAACCCCUCUCGAUUUGUUUCGAGGGGGAGCUUGGAUGGUGGGGGCUGCCGGAGACUAGGACUCGUCCUGGACUCGGGCUCUCCUUAAAUGCAUCGGCUUGCGGUCGACUUUCGACUUUGCGCGACAAGGCUUUCGGCGUGAUAAUGAUCGCCGUUCGCUGAAGCGCAUGAAUGAAGGUCCCGCGCCUCUAAUACGUCGACUGUUACUAUCUCUUCGGAGAGAAAACGUCUUCCUCAAUUGACUUUUGACCUCAAAUCAGGUAGGACUACCCGCUGAACUUAA